This 343-nucleotide ribosomal RNA is filed under the name uncultured Anaerolineaceae bacterium. Its description in RNAcentral is "bacterial SSU rRNA". It matches the Rfam family "Bacterial small subunit ribosomal RNA", at positions 1027 to 1382 of the family's 1533-position model. Lineage: Bacteria; Bacillati; Chloroflexota; Anaerolineae; Anaerolineales; Anaerolineaceae. The record is from RNAcentral.
AGCUUGUACAGGUGCUGCAUGGCUGUCGUCAGCUCGUGUCGUGAGAUGUUCGGUUAAGUCCGCUAACGAGCGCAACCCUUCGCUGUGUGUUACAAGUGUCACACGGAACUGCCGGUCAUAACCGGAGGAAGGUGGGAUGACGUCAAGUCAGCAUGGCCUUUAUAUCCUGGGCUACACACACGCUACAAUGGGAAGGGACAAUAGGUUGCGAAGCCGCGAGGCGGAGCCAAUCCAGCAAAACUUCCCUCAGUUCAGAUUGCAGGCUGCAACUCGCCUGCAUGAAGUUGGAGUUGCUAGUAAACGCAGGUCAGCCAUACUGCGUUCGAAUACGUUCCCGGGGCUU